Molecule: ribosomal RNA, 253 nt
Filed under: uncultured bacterium
Lineage: Bacteria
Description: partial 16S ribosomal RNA
Rfam family: Bacterial small subunit ribosomal RNA
Source: RNAcentral
UACGGAGGGUGCGAGCGUUGUCCGGAAUCAUUGGGCGUAAAGGGCGCGUAGGUGGCGCGGUCAGUUCGUGGUGAAAGCGCGGGGCUCAACCCCGCGUCGGCCAUGAAUACUGCUGGGCUGGAGCACUGUAGAGGCAGGCGGAAUUCCGGGUGUAGCGGUGGAAUGCGUAGAGAUCCGGAAGAACACCGGUGGCGAAGGCGGCCUGCUGGGCAGUUGCUGACACUGAGGCGCGACAGCGUGGGGAGCAAACAGG